RNAcentral lists this ribosomal RNA (1106 nucleotides) under Staphylococcus aureus. Its description in RNAcentral is "partial 23S ribosomal RNA". It matches the Rfam family "Bacterial large subunit ribosomal RNA", at positions 1482 to 2585 of the family's 2925-position model. Lineage: Bacteria; Bacillati; Bacillota; Bacilli; Caryophanales; Staphylococcaceae. The record is from RNAcentral.
AUAGGCGAAGCGUGCGAUUGGAUUGCACGUCUAAGCAGUAAGGCUGAGUAUUAGGCAAAUCCGGUACUCGUUAAGGCUGAGCUGUGAUGGGGAGAAGACAUUGUGUCUUCGAGUCGUUGAUUUCACACUGCCGAGAAAAGCCUCUAGAUAGAAAAUAGGUGCCCGUACCGCAAACCGACACAGGUAGUCAAGAUGAGAAUUCUAAGGUGAGCGAGCGAACUCUCGUUAAGGAACUCGGCAAAAUGACCCCGUAACUUCGGGAGAAGGGGUGCUCUUUAGGGUUAACGCCCAGAAGAGCCGCAGUGAAUAGGCCCAAGCGACUGUUUAUCAAAAACACAGGUCUCUGCUAAACCGUAAGGUGAUGUAUAGGGGCUGACGCCUGCCCGGUGCUGGAAGGUUAAGAGGAGUGGUUAGCUUCUGCGAAGCUACGAAUCGAAGCCCCAGUAAACGGCGGCCGUAACUAUAACGGUCCUAAGGUAGCGAAAUUCCUUGUCGGGUAAGUUCCGACCCGCACGAAAGGCGUAACGAUUUGGGCACUGUCUCAACGAGAGACUCGGUGAAAUCAUAGUACCUGUGAAGAUGCAGGUUACCCGCGACAGGACGGAAAGACCCCGUGGAGCUUUACUGUAGCCUGAUAUUGAAAUUCGGCACAGCUUGUACAGGAUAGGUAGGAGCCUUUGAAACGUGAGCGCUAGCUUACGUGGAGGCGCUGGUGGGAUACUACCCUAGCUGUGUUGGCUUUCUAACCCGCACCACUUAUCGUGGUGGGAGACAGUGUCAGGCGGGCAGUUUGACUGGGGCGGUCGCCUCCUAAAAGGUAACGGAGGCGCUCAAAGGUUCCCUCAGAAUGGUUGGAAAUCAUUCAUAGAGUGUAAAGGCAUAAGGGAGCUUGACUGCGAGACCUACAAGUCGAGCAGGGUCGAAAGACGGACUUAGUGAUCCGGUGGUUCCGCAUGGAAGGGCCAUCGCUCAACGGAUAAAAGCUACCCCGGGGAUAACAGGCUUAUCUCCCCCAAGAGUUCACAUCGACGGGGAGGUUUGGCACCUCGAUGUCGGCUCAUCGCAUCCUGGGGCUGUAGUCGGUCCCAAGGGUUGGGCUGUUCGCC